AGGACGAACGCUGGCGGCGUGCUUAACACAUGCAAGUCGAGCGGAAAGGCCCUUCGGGGUACUCGAGCGGCGAACGGGUGAGUAACACGUGAGCAACCUGCCCUUAGCUCUGGGAUAGCUCCGGGAAACCGGAAUUAAUACCGGAUAUGACCUAGGCCGACAUCGGCCGUGGUGGAAAGUUUUUCGGCUAGGGAUGGACUCGCGGCCUAUCAGCUAGUUGGUGGGGUAAUGGCCUACCAAGGCGACGACGGGUAGCCGGCCUGAGAGGGCGACCGGCCACACUGGGACUGAGACACGGCCCAGACUCCUACGGGAGGCAGCAGUGGGGAAUCUUGCGCAAUGGGCGAAAGCCUGACGCAGCGACGCCGCGUGGGGGAUGAAGGCCUUCGGGUUGUAAACCCCUUUCAGCAGGGACGAAGCGAAGUGACGGUACCUGCAGAAGAAGCGCCGGCUAACUACGCGCAGCAGCCGC
This 472-nucleotide ribosomal RNA is filed under the name uncultured bacterium. RNAcentral's name for it is "SSU rRNA". It matches the Rfam family "Bacterial small subunit ribosomal RNA", at positions 26 to 518 of the family's 1533-position model. The record is from RNAcentral.